AGCGAACGCUGGCGGCAGGCUUAAUACAUGCAAGUCGAACGCACCCUUCGGGGUGAGUGGCGGACGGGUGAGUAACACGUGGGAAUGUGCCUUUAGGUUCGGAAUAACUCAGGGAAACUUGAGCUAAUACCGGAUGUGCCCCCAUUCUUUAGCGAGAGUGGGGGGAAAGGAUUUAUCGCCUUUAGAGCAGCCCGCGUCUGAUUAGCUAGUUGGUGGGGUAAAAGCCUACCAAGGCGACGACAGUAGCUGGUCUGAGAGGAUGGCCAGCCACACU
RNAcentral lists this ribosomal RNA (274 nucleotides) under uncultured bacterium. RNAcentral describes it as "partial 16S ribosomal RNA". It matches the Rfam family "Bacterial small subunit ribosomal RNA", at positions 29 to 314 of the family's 1533-position model. The record is from RNAcentral.